AAGAAGUAAUUAAGCUUUAGCUUUCACUUACACUGAAAAGAUGGAAAUUUUGUUAAAAAAAUUUUUUU
Molecule: transfer RNA, 68 nt
Filed under: Araneus angulatus
Lineage: Eukaryota; Metazoa; Arthropoda; Arachnida; Araneae; Araneidae
Description: tRNA-Val
Source: RNAcentral